RNAcentral lists this non-coding RNA (90 nucleotides) under human gut metagenome. RNAcentral's name for it is "Glycine riboswitch". It matches the Rfam family "Glycine riboswitch aptamer", at positions 7 to 88 of the family's 94-position model. From Rfam's summary of the family: This family represents the bacterial glycine riboswitch. Glycine riboswitches usually consist of two metabolite-binding aptamers domains with similar structures in tandem. The aptamers cooperatively bind glycine to regulate the expression of downstream genes. The record is from RNAcentral.
UAUUCUCUGGAGAGUUCCUGUAAGGACGCCGAAGGUGUAAGGAAAGAAAAAAGCAGUUCUUUCCGAUCUCUCAGGCAAAAGGACGGAGUA